This 263-nucleotide long non-coding RNA is filed under the name Brassica napus (rape). RNAcentral describes it as "long non-coding RNA (BNAP_LNC013542)". The record is from RNAcentral. Lineage: Eukaryota; Viridiplantae; Streptophyta; Magnoliopsida; Brassicales; Brassicaceae.
GGGAGGGGUCUACCACUAGAGGUUGUCAAAAAUAUUGGCAUAAAGGAUGUGACAACUCAAGUGUGUAUAUCCAUGAUUCAGUACACAAGGGACCAUGAGCAAGAUGCAUUAAGUUCGUUCAGUUCAAAUAAGGUUGUAGUUGGCUUUAAAGACUGAGUUUCAGCAAUCAACAAGUUUCAGGAAGAGUUUUCAAGGCUCGAAGCAUACAAGUCCUUUUGAGAGGUGCAUAAGCUACUCAGGUGCAAAGUAGUGUUCUUUACAAG